CUUUUGUAUAUGUAAUCAACGCCUCAUGGUUCUUUUUCUAAUUACUUACUAUUAUUUAACUUGAGGCUUUCAUAAAACAUGUCUUGAGUUUUGAGGAACGAGAAAGAAAUCAAUGUUAAGAUAAGCACAAUUUUUUUCAAAGUGAACAUUAUGUAAGAGAACAGAUUAAGCACACGUCUUAAUUUUUACCGUUAACCCUGCAAUUUAUUUUACAAGCUUUAACAAAGAGAAUUGCGCUAUCUUCUAGAGUUCUCCAAAAUAAAAGAGGGGAAAAGAGGGAAAAAAUUAAUUUCAUGCAUAUUUUAUUGUAAUGUUGCUGGUUAAGUGUUUUUUUUUUUUUUUUUAAUAGAAAGUUAUGUAGCAAACACCUUAAAUAAGAUAAGUGGAAGUAUAUAAUGUCUAGCAUAAGACUUUCUCUUGGUCAAUCAUAGGAUUUUUGUGAAGCAUUCGAACUUGGAUUCUCGUGUAGAAGAACUUGAUAAGUUACUAUGGUUUGAUUAAACUGGAGCAGGUUCUUAUAUAUUGUUUGUAUGAUAGAAACUCAUCCGUGGAGAUGCUUGGAGUAUAAAUAUAGAUGGGCUGUGGAGUUGCUUAAUUAAUCUGUCAAUAGUAGACAGAGACUUUCACAAUCACAAUUUAUUGUUCUCUUUCAUUCAUGUUUACAUUUGGACUGCCUAUUGUAUAGGUCUUUGUACGUAAUAUAAUAGUUGAGUGGCAUAUAAAUCAUAUACCGGAACAAAUAUAAGUAUAAAUUAAGUAAAGAUUUUGUAGAAUCUGAUAAUUGAAUUCAAGAAACUUCUUUGCUUAUUCUGAAUUUGAAAAUUUUGCCUCCAACCAUUUUCACUGAUCAUCAAAUAGCAAUAAAAGGCUGAAUGUAUACUCAAAAGUAGUUGCCUAUUCUAUACUGGUGAGAAGAAAAAGUGAAGAGAAAUACAUUAUUUAUUUAUAAAUAAAAUAGAUUUUUCUGAAUAAUUCACAUAUUCUUGCUAAGUUUAGCUCUACAAACUUCCUAUAGCUCCAAGUUUUUAACUUGUGUUUACAGUUUACAAGUACUUGACUCUUGAAAACCAUAGUAACUCAUUUUGUUAUAGCUUAUAUUACUUAUCAUUUUUCACUAUCAACAUAAUUGCUAUUUUUAUUUCACCAUGAAAGUAAACUAUUCUUUGUUUUCAUUAAUGACGAAUGAACUCCAGCAGAACAUAGUGUAAUGCUGAAGAUAUUUCACGAAGAUAUUUUUUUCAGGUACUGAUUUCUUAUUAUUUCAGCUUUAGAUCUGAAGUAUAACUGAGGUAUGUCGAUUUUAUAGUAUUUUAGUUUAGGUUUGUUUGUUCUCAUUAGGUUCAUUUCUUUUUCCAAAUUAUAAAUAAUUUCUUAUGCUGUCGAUUUCUCAUCAUUUUAGCUUCAAAUCUUGUGUUUUGUCAGUGUGGUAAUUUUUUAUUUUAAUUUGCUUAUACUUUUUAAGGGAUUGGUGGUGACUAUCGGUCCAUAAUCAAUGGCAUUCUAAGUCUUUUUAUUCGAAGUACCUAUGGAAUUUGAAUUUUUUUACUUAGGUGUUGUGUGGGGAUAUUGUUAGAAUUUGGGAGUUAUUUAAUUGAAUCAAUUGCAAUGGAUCAUGUUGUGGGUAGAAAGCUUAAGCUUCGAAAGAAAAUAAGGAGUGGUUGAUUCCGGGAAUUUUAUUUACGUACCCAUUUUAUUUAAUUCUUAUUUUGGUGUAGUUAAGGUAAUUUCUAUUUUUUUUUUUUUUUGAAAAAAUUAUAUUUCUUUAAUUUACUCAUGCAGGUGUAAACAUUCGAAAUGAAAAAGAAGUUCCCAUUAAGCUGGUAUGUUCAUAUUUGUUUUCUUCUUUUGAACUUUUCACGUGUUAUAUAAUUUCCAAGGAAUGCAAUCCUUUGGAUUCCAUAUUUUAUACGCAAAUUUAAUCUCUCUUGUUGUCAUGUGUUUAGUGUUUUUUUUUUUCUUUUUUCUUUUUUCUUUUUUCGUUGUAGUUUUACUUGUAUAAAUAUAAAUGUUUGUUCAUCUCUGUAAUUUACUUCGUUUAUUUUAUUAAAUGCAUCAUGUUGCUUUCUUGAAUAUUUGUUUCUAUCAUUUUUUGUUUGAUGUUAAAUUUUUUUUUUUUUGAAGGAAUUUUCUUUUAAUUCAUUUCUCGUACUCUAUAGUUUACUCUUCCUGCGUAUAUAUCAAACAAAUUUUCUAAUAGUUUUUGUCUCAAUUUCUUAGUUUGUACUGCUUUCUUUGGAAUUUCAAUAUUCGAUGGUCUCUUCUACUCCUGCGAUGGAUAUUUCAGAAAUACCUGCUUAUGAAGACACUGCUUUUGUUUACAUUGACACUAGAUCUCGUAGUGGGAAAGACUCAUGCAACUCCUCCAUUCGCCAACAGCAAAGUCAAAAAGAAAGAGAUCGGCGAAAAAGACUUAGAUCUGGAUGUAUUGAUCAGCGUAAAAGGAUAAAUGAGCAUAUGAUUCUAGGAAAUAAUUCUUCUGCUGUUGCCCAAUUGCAUGAAUCUAUAAUACAUCAUGAUCCUAAUGCUUCUACUUCAAAUAAAACAAUACAUAAUAUUUCUAAUUUUGAAUUAGAAAGAACUCUUAAUGGAUUGAACGUGCCAUCUAUUGCUUAUGUAUUGCCAACAUCCAUCUAUUGUAAACAUUGUAAUGCUUGUAAAUUUUACAGAGAAACUAAAGGUUUUUGUUGUGCUGACGGAAAAAUCUAGUUUUUAAUUGCCCGACUCACCAAGGGAACUAUAUAAUUUAUUUACUUCUAAAGAACUGAGUUGCAUAGAAUUCAAGAAAAUUGUGAGGGGAUAUAAUAACCAUUUGGCUUUUAAUUCAUUUGGUGUGAAGUACGAUAAAAACAUCUUUAAAGCAUAUAAAGGUAUUUACAC
This 2877-nucleotide long non-coding RNA is filed under the name Olea europaea subsp. europaea. The record is from RNAcentral. Lineage: Eukaryota; Viridiplantae; Streptophyta; Magnoliopsida; Lamiales; Oleaceae.